CUACGGGGUGCUGCAGCGAGGAAUAUUGCGCAAUGGGGGAAACCCUGACGCAGCGACGUCGCGUGAAUGAUGAAGUCCUUAGGGAUGUAAAGUUCUGUCAAGAGGAAGCAUAAUGAUAGUACCUCUAAAGGAAGCUCCGGCUAAUUACGUGCCAGCAGCCGCGGUAAUACGUAAGGAGCGAACGUUAUCCGGAUUUACUGGGUAUAAAGUGCGCGUAGGUGGUUAAUCAAGUUAGGUGUUAAAUCCUUUAGCUCAACUAAAGUCUGCAUCUAAACUAAUUGACUAGAGAAUAGUAGAGGAAAGCGGAACUCACAGUGUAGCGGUGAAAUGCAUAGAUAUUGUGAGGAACACCGGUUGCGAAGGCGGCUUUCUGGCCUAUUUCUGACGUUGAGGCGCGAAAGCGUGGGGAGCGAACGGGAUUAGAUACCCGCGUAGUC
This 437-nucleotide ribosomal RNA is filed under the name uncultured bacterium. RNAcentral's name for it is "partial 16S ribosomal RNA". It matches the Rfam family "Bacterial small subunit ribosomal RNA", at positions 339 to 795 of the family's 1533-position model. The record is from RNAcentral.